This 254-nucleotide ribosomal RNA is filed under the name uncultured bacterium. RNAcentral's name for it is "partial 16S ribosomal RNA". It matches the Rfam family "Bacterial small subunit ribosomal RNA", at positions 524 to 776 of the family's 1533-position model. The record is from RNAcentral.
UACGUAGGGAGCAAGCGUUGUUCGGAUUUACUGGGCGUAAAGGGCGCGUAGGCGGCAAAUUAAGUCAGCUGUGAAAUCUCCGAGCUUAACUCGGAACGGUCAGCUGAUACCGAUCUGCUAGAGUGCGGAAGGGGCAAUCGGAAUUCUUGGUGUAGCGGUGAAAUGCGUAGAUAUCAAGAGGAACACCUGAGGUGAAGACGGGUUGCUGGGCCGACACUGACGCUGAGUGCGCGAAAGCCAGGGGAGCAAACGGG